RNAcentral lists this unclassified non-coding RNA (293 nucleotides) under uncultured fungus. RNAcentral's name for it is "sequence contains ITS1". The record is from RNAcentral. Lineage: Eukaryota; Fungi.
CGGACUACGAGGGUAUCUAAUCCUGUUUGCUCCCCACGCUUUCGCGUCUCAGCGUCAGUAUCCGUCCAGGUGGCCGCCUUCGCCGCUGGUGUUCCUCCCGAUAUCUACGAAUUUCACCUCUACACCGGGAAUUCCGCCACCCUCUCCGGUACUCAAGCCAUGCAGUUUUGGGCGCACUUCCUCGGUUAAGCCGAGGGCUUUCACACCCAACUUACAAAGCCGCCUACACGCGCUUUACGCCCAAUAAUUCCGGACAACGCUCGCACCCCACGUAUUACCGCGGCGGCUGGCAC